RNAcentral lists this non-coding RNA (30 nucleotides) under Rattus norvegicus (Norway rat). The record is from RNAcentral. Lineage: Eukaryota; Metazoa; Chordata; Mammalia; Rodentia; Muridae.
UGCACCAAUGGAGGAUUUUAUGCAGAAUGC